GGGGCGUCGCCUUGUCCUCUUCGGAGCCAAUCGGAAUUCUGUUUCAUACUUUGUAAACAACACGGUUGCACGUUGUCUGCAAACUACUACGGGUAGUUGUCGCGGGCCAGGCGCCGCCAAGCCACUUCGCUCUGUCUCCAGGCAAAGGUGUAUGUUUCUUGGAGGGACCAUGGAGUGGUAAAUGAGAAGUGCUCCACCCUGUGCCCUCCUCCACCGAACUCACGCGAGCGGAUCCCCGUCCUUUCAUUGCUCGUACGUCGGCGUGUGAGCGAAUGUAGCGUUAGCCCUACGACAAAGAAGAGGCUUUUCGGCUGCGUCCUGGUUGGCUAAUCUAUGAAGCAAUGCAGUGAAAACCUCUAAAGCAGGAAUCGCCAGUGAGGGCAGGUGAGAUACUGAGGAUAUUGAUACCCAGAUACCAGCUCCCAAAGAAAGAGGCCACUGUUUCCUGUUAUCUACUGUGCUGUCUUCGGAGCCACCCCCCACCCCACCCACC
This is a long non-coding RNA of Electrophorus electricus (electric eel), 493 nucleotides long. Lineage: Eukaryota; Metazoa; Chordata; Actinopteri; Gymnotiformes; Gymnotidae. The record is from Ensembl.